GAUGAACGCUGGCGGCGUGCCUCAAACAUGCAAGUCGAGCGAGGCUAUGAAUUACCGCAAGGUAAGGCAUAGCCUAGCGGCGAACGGGUGAGUAACACGUGGGUAACCUACCUGGAAGACAGGGAUAACGAUUCGAAAGGGUCGCUAAUACCUGAUAAUAUCCAUCUGCCGGAUGGCGGAGGGAAGAAAGGGGAAACCCGCUUUCAGAUGGGCCCGCGUCCCAUCAGCUAGUUGGUAAGGUAAAGGCUUACCAAGGCGACGACGGGUAGCCGGUCUGAGAGGAUGUACGGCCACACUGGGACUGAGAUACGGCCCAGACUCCUACGGGAGGCAGCAGUUGGGAAUCUUAGGCAAUGGACGAAAGUCUGACCUAGCGACGCCACGUGAGGGAAGAAGGCCUUCGGGUUGUAAACCUCUGUCAUGGGGAAGGAAGGAAGUGACGGUACCCGAAGAGGAAGCCCUGCUAACUACGUGCCAGCGCCGCGGUAAAACGUCGAACGUCG
This 503-nucleotide ribosomal RNA is filed under the name uncultured bacterium. RNAcentral's name for it is "bacterial SSU rRNA". It matches the Rfam family "Bacterial small subunit ribosomal RNA", at positions 28 to 536 of the family's 1533-position model. The record is from RNAcentral.